This 1113-nucleotide long non-coding RNA is filed under the name Oryctolagus cuniculus (rabbit). RNAcentral's name for it is "lncRNA (ENSOCUG00000030370.1)". The record is from RNAcentral. Lineage: Eukaryota; Metazoa; Chordata; Mammalia; Lagomorpha; Leporidae.
AUGUACCCACACCACACACACUCAUACAGCUGCACCCAUUCUACACACACCCAUAAACACACACAGACUCAGGCCUAUCAUCCCCCUGGUAACCCACUACAAACACACACCUCCACUCAACCCCCCUACACCCACUCCACACACACAGAGGCCUGUCAUCCCCCUGGUCUUCCACUCCACACACACACACACCUCCAUACAUACACACCAACUCCACACACACCCAUAUACCUACACCCACUCCACACAUACUAUACACACACCUACCUAGUCCACACACACUCCACACACACACAGGCCUGCCAUAGCCCCUGGUCACCUACUGCGUGGGUACACACACCCACACCCACACCCAGUCCACACACUCCACAUACAACCAGCACUCCACAUACACACACUCAGUGCACAUACAUGGUUACCCACUCACUCCACAUACAUGCACGCACCACACACUCACUCCACACACACGCACACAGGCUGUCACCCCCCUGGUCAGCCACUACACACAUACACACACAGGCCUGUCAUAGCCCCUGGUCACCUACUGCAUGUGCACACACACACACCCAGUCCACACACACUCCACAUACACACACUCAGUGCACAUACAUGGUUACCCACUCACUCCACACACAUGCACACAGGCUGCCACCCCCCUGGUCAACCACUACACACACUGACACACACAUACACAGGCCUGUCAUCUCCCUGGCCACCCACUCCACACACACACACUCCACACACACACACCACACACACACCACACCCACUCCACACACACACACCACACCCACUCCACACAACCACACCCACUCCACACACACACACAAACACUCACACACAUACACAGACUCAGGCCGUCACAGCCCCGGUCACCCAUUCCACACACACACCUCCACUCAACCCCCCACUCCCACGCCACACACAGAGGCCUGUCAUCCCCCCCCCCCCGCACCCUUCCAGCACGGUCAGGCCUCCCGUUUGGUUGCAGAAGCACAGUGGGAACGGUGUGGAUCGCUCUGUCUUGCUCUGCUUUCAAAUACAGAAAUCUUCUCUACAACAGUGAGGCUGGGGCCGGUGCAGUGGCAGAGUGGGUUAAGCCACGGCCUGUGA